This 72-nucleotide transfer RNA is filed under the name Camelus bactrianus (Bactrian camel). It matches the Rfam family "tRNA". From Rfam's summary of the family: Transfer RNA (tRNA) molecules are approximately 80 nucleotides in length. Their secondary structure includes four short double-helical elements and three loops (D, anti-codon, and T loops). Further hydrogen bonds mediate the characteristic L-shaped molecular structure. tRNAs have two regions of fundamental functional importance: the anti-codon, which is responsible for specific mRNA codon recognition, and the 3' end, to which the tRNAs corresponding amino acid is attached (by aminoacyl-tRNA synthetases). tRNAs cope with the degeneracy of the genetic code in two manners: having more than one tRNA (with a specific anti-codon) for a particular amino acid; and 'wobble' base-pairing, i.e. permitting non-standard base-pairing at the 3rd anti-codon position. The record is from Rfam by way of RNAcentral. Lineage: Eukaryota; Metazoa; Chordata; Mammalia; Artiodactyla; Camelidae. RNAcentral also lists the same sequence under 2 other names.
GAGGGCGUAGCUCAGUGGUAGAGCACAUGCUUUGUGUGCAUGAGGUCCUACGUUCAAUCCCCAGUACCUCCA